CAACCCUCAAGCCUGGCUUGGUGUUGGAGUUCUGUUUGUUUAAAACAGGCUCUGAAAUACAGUGGCGAGCUCACCUGGACUCCGAGCGUAGUAGUUAACGUCGCUCAGGGCGUCCGGCGGGUUUCUGCCGUAAAAUCCCCUAUUUUACAGAAA
This 153-nucleotide unclassified non-coding RNA is filed under the name uncultured Humicola. Its description in RNAcentral is "sequence contains ITS2". Lineage: Eukaryota; Fungi; Ascomycota. The record is from RNAcentral.